Molecule: non-coding RNA, 171 nt
Filed under: Candidatus Zhuqueibacterota
Lineage: Bacteria; Pseudomonadati
Description: Candidate division FMN sequence
Rfam family: FMN riboswitch aptamer (RFN element)
About the family: The RFN element is a highly conserved domain that is found frequently in the 5'-untranslated regions of prokaryotic mRNAs that encode for flavin mononucleotide (FMN) biosynthesis and transport proteins. This element is a metabolite-dependent riboswitch that directly binds FMN in the absence of proteins. In Bacillus subtilis, the riboswitch most likely controls gene expression by causing premature transcription termination within the 5' untranslated region of the ribDEAHT operon and precluding access to the ribosome-binding site of ypaA mRNA.
Source: RNAcentral
AAUUGUCUUCGGGGUGAGGCGAAAAUCCUCGACCGGCGGUGACAGCCCGCGACGUUUACCCCUGCCGAGUCCCCGCUUCGCCAAAGGCGGAUGCGGGACGAGUGCGGGGUCCGACUUGAACCGGUGAAAUCCCGGUGCCGACGGUAACAGUCCGGAUGGGAGAAGACAACC